This 449-nucleotide ribosomal RNA is filed under the name uncultured bacterium. Its description in RNAcentral is "partial 16S ribosomal RNA". It matches the Rfam family "Bacterial small subunit ribosomal RNA", at positions 330 to 795 of the family's 1533-position model. The record is from RNAcentral.
UCCAGACUCCUACGGGAGGCAGCAGUGGGGGAUAUUGCACAAUGGGGGGAACCCUGAUGCAGCGACGCCGCGUGGGUGAAGGAGCGUUUCGGCGCGUAAAGCCCUAUCGGCAGGGAAGAAGGAGGACGGUACCUGACUAAGAAGCCCCGGCUAACUACGUGCCAGCAGCCGCGGUAAUACGUAGGGGGCAAGCGUUAUCCGGAUUUACUGGGUGUAAAGGGGGCGCAGACGGCAGCGCAAGCCAGGAGUGAAAGCCCGGGGCCCAACCCCGGGACUGCUCUUGGAACUGCGCGGCUGGAGUGCAGGAGGGGCAGGCGGAAUUCCUGGUGUAGCGGUGAAAUGCGUAGAUAUCAGGAGGAACACCGGUGGCGAAGGCGGCCUGCUGGACUGCGACUGACGUUGAGGCCCGAAAGCGUGGGGAGCAAACAGGAUUAGAUACCCGCGUAGAC